Molecule: unclassified non-coding RNA, 990 nt
Filed under: Leishmania donovani
Lineage: Eukaryota; Euglenozoa; Kinetoplastea; Trypanosomatida; Trypanosomatidae
Description: gene:LdHU3.36.0590(CDS-product:hypothetical_prote in_conserved)
Source: RNAcentral
CAUGCGCGCCUUUGCCCUGCGCGCGCACUCACAAACGUGCAUUUUCCGACUUUCCCACAGAGUCUCGUCUCUGCACACAGACUUCAUCGACCAACACAGGCCGUGGCACCAGGAAAAGAGGUUAACUACUCACUCACAGAUUUCAAAUCACACGCGGCACCGUUACGGCUUUCUUUGCACAGGUGCUGUCGUACUAAAUUUGUCGAUCACCGGAGAGAGACCUAAAGGCGGCGUUCAACCAUGUACAGUGACGGUGAGCGCAAGACCGUAUCGGAGCUUCAGCGGGAGGCCGAGGCGACGCGCAAGGAGAUUAUCGAGGAGGCGCAGCGGCUGGAGAGGAUUAAGAAGGCCACCGCCAAGACGCAGUUCUCCAUCGACCAGCUCUUUCGCUUCUUUGCGCGUGAGGUGGAGACCGAGAAGGAGAAGAAGAUGCUGAUCGACCUCCUCGUCUCGAAUCCGCCAGACCUGCACAUCGAGUGUGUGCCGGUGCUGCCGGUCGUCAUCGCCAUCGCAAAUGGCCGCAUGACCAACGCGCGCCGCAUCUACACCACGGACAACGCCUUCCUGGACGACUCGGCCUUCAUAUUCCUCGUCCACACACUGCGCUUCUUGCCUCAGGCUUGCAAAAUCGACUUCCUCGACAUUAGCGGGACGGGUGUGACGGAGCGUGGCAUGUGCUUUGUGCUGGAGAUGAUGAUUGAGCGCAACACCCCGUUCACCCUAGUAGCGAAGCGCCUGUCGAUCCCGUCGGCGGAGGCAGAGGCAGUGCGGGCCCGCUAUACGUCCCUCAUGAGCGCGUUGCGGGACAAGAAGUGCUGCCGCUUUAUUCAGGAGUAAAUCGAAGCUUGCGACAUGCGUGCGCGCUUGUGUGGCGAAGCGAGACAGCUAAGCGUUGAUGCGGUGUGGACGUGUGGAUGCUGGCGACUUGGCGUAGGUGUGAUGAUGUCCUGCCUCUGCUUUCUCUUUUUCCUCUCUCUCCUCUUGCUUUAG